UGGAUUGAAAACCCGAAAGGGCGAUCCAGGAAAAAGUUAGGGAUUAAGUGAAUGAUUGCGUUCUGAGUAGUUCUGAAUCUCAUCUCGUGUCGAUAACUGGAAACUUUCGAAGGAUAUGAAACAGUCCAAUCACCGUUUUCAGAAAGCUGAUCAUCUGGAGGAUCUUGAAGACGAGCGAGUCAUAGCAGAAUUGGAACCCGAUAGAAAUCCAUUUCACAUUGCCGUUAGAUUAAUUUUU
RNAcentral lists this long non-coding RNA (238 nucleotides) under Lathyrus oleraceus (garden pea). RNAcentral's name for it is "Pisum sativum (pea) long non-coding RNA (PSAT_LNC027938)". Lineage: Eukaryota; Viridiplantae; Streptophyta; Magnoliopsida; Fabales; Fabaceae. The record is from RNAcentral.